This 253-nucleotide ribosomal RNA is filed under the name uncultured bacterium. RNAcentral describes it as "partial 16S ribosomal RNA". It matches the Rfam family "Bacterial small subunit ribosomal RNA", at positions 524 to 776 of the family's 1533-position model. The record is from RNAcentral.
UACGAGUGCCCCAAGCGUUAUCCGGAUUUAUUGGGCGUAAAGGGUCUGUAGGCGUCCCGAAAAGUUUUUCGUUAAAUCUCGAUGCUCAACGUCGAGGCUGCGGAAAAAACUUUCGGGAUUGAGGUCGGGAGAGGCAGAUGGAAUUGCCGGUGUAGGGGUAAAAUCCGUUAAUAUCGGCAAGAACACCAAAUGCGAAGGCUUUCUGCUAGAACGAUUCUGACGCUGAGAGACGAAAGCGUGGGGAGCGAAUGGG